Molecule: long non-coding RNA, 867 nt
Filed under: Sorghum bicolor (sorghum)
Lineage: Eukaryota; Viridiplantae; Streptophyta; Magnoliopsida; Poales; Poaceae
Description: long non-coding RNA (SBIC_LNC002680)
Source: RNAcentral
ACGAUACCUGGAAUACUUAUCCUGGUGAAAUGCUACAAUGAGGUGUUUUAUCUGUCCGCUUGCGGAUAGAAUAGAUUAUUUUCUAGAGAGCCUUUACAUUUAUAAAUACCUUUGUACACUCUGGCGCCAUGCUAGGGAUGACAACCUAGUAUCUAAGUGGUGUUAGCUAGUGUCAACACUCAACAUGAUAAAGGCUAGAUAUUUAUGCUAACACUUAACUAGUUCCACAAAGCUUUGUUGUCUAUUUGAGCUCCAUAGAAUUCAAGGAUCAAAGAAGACUAGGAGACAGAGGACAUCCUAAUUGCUGUCAGGGUGCUGCCGACUUUCAAAUACACCUCCAUCACCUGCUAGCUACAUCAGAAGAAAUUACGUCAAAAUCCAGCUUGGGGGAGAGCACCCCCAUUUAUCCAGCUAAGUAUUUCUACUCGCGUUUAUACUUUACUCAAAUAAUAAAAGAUGCAUAAUCAUGAAAACCCAAAUAAAGAUUUUGUGCUUUUAUAUAUAUAUCUUUGCUUAGUUUGCUAAAUAAAUAAAUAAAUAAAGUUUGCUAUGAACCCUCAUGAUAAACUCUCACAUGGAAAUGAUGAAUAGUUGCUCUGCCAUGACUAGUUCUUAAAAUUGAAAUCUCUCUCAAGUUUAGGCAUGAUUGUUAUAAUUUAAACCUGCUCUAAACCGAAACUCGUGGGAAGAGUACUUGAUCUAAAAGUCUAAGUCGUUAACGGAUAUGAUAUGGGAAGGUUGAGCUGCUGUUUAUCUGUUCCUAGAGAUGCUAGAAUUCUGGAGAAUUUUAUCUUUGAAAAAUCUUUAAAAUAACACAUGAUGAGUUCCUAUAUGAUGAGAGUUUAAAUUCCUACCACAGCCAUAUAU